This 460-nucleotide ribosomal RNA is filed under the name uncultured bacterium. Its description in RNAcentral is "partial 16S ribosomal RNA". It matches the Rfam family "Bacterial small subunit ribosomal RNA", at positions 338 to 795 of the family's 1533-position model. The record is from RNAcentral.
CCUACGGGCGGCAGCAGUGAGGAAUAUUGGUCAAUGGACGAGAGUCUGAACCAGCCAAGUAGCGUGAAGGAUGACUGCCCUAUGGGUUGUAAACUUCUUUUAUAUGGGAAUAAAACGUUCCACGUGUGGGAUUUUGUAUGUACCAUAUGAAUAAGGAUCGGCUAACUCCGUGCCAGCAGCCGCGGUAAUACGGAGGAUCCGAGCGUUAUCCGGAUUUAUUGGGUUUAAAGGGAGCGUAGGUGGAUUGUUAAGUCAGUUGUGAAAGUGUGCGGCUCAACCGUAAAAUUGCAGUUGAAACUGGCAGUCUUGAGUACAGUAGAGGUGGGCGGAAUUCGUGGUGUAGCGGUGAAAUGCUUAGAUAUCACGAAGAACUCCGAUUGCGAAGGCAGUUCACUGGACUGCAACUGACACUGAGGCUCGAAAGUGUGGGUAUCAAACAGGAUUAGAUACCCCAGUAGUC